This 455-nucleotide long non-coding RNA is filed under the name Nicotiana benthamiana. RNAcentral's name for it is "long non-coding RNA (NBEN_LNC029986)". Lineage: Eukaryota; Viridiplantae; Streptophyta; Magnoliopsida; Solanales; Solanaceae. The record is from RNAcentral.
CCAUCUGCAUUCUUCUAUUCGUGGCACACUAAAAACCUAGAAUUUGUUUCUCUCUCAUAUUUGAGUACAAUUAAUUUUCAAUUAGAGAUGAAGGGAAGCACUGGAACUAAGGAUGGUAACUCGAAGAAGAGGAUCAUGUCAAGUAGAAAACUAGGAAAGUUUCUCAAGGAGCAGAGAGGAAGACUUUACAUUAUGAGAAGAUGUGUAGUCAUGCUACUUUGCUGGCACGACUGAUGGCACCACAAGAUAUUAUGCAUCAAAAAGUUGAUUUCUUCAUCCCAGAAUUCUCUAUAGCCUAAGUCCUCUCUUGCUUUAUUGAAGGAUUGAUAUUGAAAAAAUAAAAAUCUUAUAUUUCUUAUCCAUUAGGAGUGAAUAAGACGAAUUCGCCAGUUGUAAAUAGAAAAGAGAAAUGUGAGUUAUCUAGCUUAAUUAGCUUAGAAUUGUUAGAAAAGUAG